This 202-nucleotide ribosomal RNA is filed under the name uncultured bacterium. RNAcentral's name for it is "partial 16S ribosomal RNA". It matches the Rfam family "Bacterial small subunit ribosomal RNA", at positions 1299 to 1500 of the family's 1533-position model. The record is from RNAcentral.
UGCAGGCUGCAACUCGCCUGCAUGAAGUUGGAAUUGCUAGUAAUCGCGGAUCAGCAUGCCGCGGUGAAUACGUUCCCGGGCCUUGUACACACCGCCCGUCACACCAUGGGAGCCGGUAAUACCCGAAGUCAGUAGCCUAACCGCAAGGGGGGCGCUGCCGAAGGUAGGAUUGGCGACUGGGGUGAAGUCGUAACAAGGUACC